AGGACGAACGCUGGCGGCGUGCUUAACACAUGCAAGUCGAGCGGAAAGGCCCUUCGGGGUACUCGAGCGGCGAACGGGUGAGUAACACGUGAGUAAUCUGCCCCUAUGCUCUGGGAUAGCUCCGGGAAACCGGGAUUAAUACCAGAUAUAACCACUUUAGACAUCUGUUGUGGUGGAAAGAAUUUCGGCUAGGGAUGAGCUCGCGGCCUAUCAGCUUGUUGGUGAGGUAACGGCUCACCAAGGCGACGACGGGUAGCCGGCCUGAGAGGGCGACCGGCCACACUGGGACUGAGACACGGCCCAGACUCCUACGGGAGGCAGCAGUGGGGAAUAUUGCGCAAUGGGCGAAAGCCUGACGCAGCGACGCCGCGUGGGGGAUGAAGGCCUUCGGGUUGUAAACCCUUUCAGCAGGGACGAAGCGAAAGUGACGGUACCUGCAGAAGAAGCGCCGGCUAACUACGCGCCAGCAGCCGCGGUAA
Molecule: ribosomal RNA, 479 nt
Filed under: uncultured bacterium
Lineage: Bacteria
Description: SSU rRNA
Rfam family: Bacterial small subunit ribosomal RNA
Source: RNAcentral